GAUGAAGAACGCAGCGAAAUGCGAUAAGUAAUGUGAAUUGCAGAAUUCAGUGAAUCAUCGAAUCUUUGAACGCACAUUGCGCCCGCCAGUAUUCUGGCGGGCAUGCCUGUUCGAGCGUCAUUACAACCCUCAGGCCCCCGGGCCUGGCGUUGGGGAUCGGCGGAGCCCCCCGUGGGCACACGCCGUCCCCCAAAUGCAGUGGCGGUCCCGCCGCAGCUUCCAUCGCGUAGUAACUAACACCUCGCGACUGGAGAGCGGCGCGGCCACGCCGUAAAACACCCAACUCUUCUGAAGUUGACCUCGAAUCAGGUAGGAAUACCCGCUGAACUUAAGCAUAUCAAUAAGCGGAGGA
This 352-nucleotide unclassified non-coding RNA is filed under the name soil metagenome. RNAcentral's name for it is "partial contains 5.8S ribosomal RNA, internal transcribed spacer 2, and large subunit ribosomal RNA". The stretch from base 1 to 120 matches the Rfam family "5.8S ribosomal RNA", at positions 35 to 154 of the family's 154-position model. The record is from RNAcentral.